UUCCGCACUUAAAUGGAUAACUCAAACCCUUAUCUUGACCAGUUUGCAAUCCAGUAUUUAGAACUAGAUUCAGAAACUUCACAUACAUAAAGGGUGAGGCUUGAGUCUACUUUCGAUUACAAAAGUCGAGUAGAAAGAAGACUCACUACUCAAUUUGCAAAUUUUCUUUUUUUCGGUAUGCUGCUCCGCGAGCAGAUUCGGCUAAGAGAUUCGCAAUUGGACCUGAAAUCGGGGUGUUACUCUACUUAUACUUCUUAUCUAAAUUCUUUAUGAAUUUAAUCGCUCUCUCUUUUGCCUGUCGUUCUUGUAACACCUUAUGAGCUAUCUUGGACUAUGGUGCCCAGCCAGGGAAGCCUUCUUUUACAAAGAAACAAGCAGAUCUUUUCUUCCCCCCAGGUUUUGCCAAUGACUUUCCAGUUGCAAUGCAGAUAUCCCACAAAUAUAGUUUGAUCUACGUGAUCACCAAGCUUGGGCUAUUAUUUGUUUAAGACUUGGAGACCGCUACUGCAGUUUAUAGGAAUAGAAUCAGUCCAGAUCCAAUAUUUUUGACAGCAGAAGCUUCAUCAGUGGGAGGUUUUUAUGCAAUCAAUAGAUGUGGACAGAUGUUAUUGGCUACUGUAAAUGAUCAAACAAUUGUACCAUUUGUCAGUGGCCAGUUGAACAAUUUGGAGCUUGUUGUCAAUCUUGCCAAAAGAGGGAAUCUUCUUGGAGCCUAGCAGCUUGUUGUCCAACAUUUCCAAGAACUAUUUGCCCAAAUGAAGUACAAAGAAGCUACAGAACUUGCUGCCGAGUCCCCACAAGGAAUCCUCCGAACACCGGACACAGUUGCCAAAUUUCAGGUUUUACAUGUUGAUUCUCCAAUCAAACACAUCUUACCUUUCAAAAAAAGUUUUCAAUCAAAGACAUUUCGUUGGCUGCUAAUAUUUCAUAGCUUCAAUGUUCUUCAUCCAUAUCAAGUUGUCUCCAUUUGAUAUCUGGCCAUUCAAGAUCUCUGUAUGCACUGGUUGUAUUGGCCUUAUCUCUUCUCACUGUCUUUGUUGUCCAGUUUGACAUUCAUUGUGUAUCUGGAUCUUUCUUUUACUGGAAUUGAAUGUUGCUUCAUAAGAUUGUUCCAGUUA
Molecule: long non-coding RNA, 1118 nt
Organism: Juglans microcarpa x Juglans regia
Lineage: Eukaryota; Viridiplantae; Streptophyta; Magnoliopsida; Fagales; Juglandaceae
Exons: 5
Source: RefSeq, a predicted model, not a curated record